GUCAGCCCCUCCCAGACUGUACUUGGAAGGUGAAGACACUCAUCAUUUGCCAGCAUGUUUCUGAGACUUUAUUUUUCUUCAUUUUCCAAAGAUGAAAACCAAGCAAAAAGCAGAGGCAUCAGUUUUUCUCUACAAGCUGACUUGUAGAAACAUUUGUAGAGACACUCCAACCAAUCCAGUGGAAGCAUUUCCUUUACUUGGAUGGAUGAACUCCAUUCAUUCAAGGAUGGUCAUGGGAACUGUCGGAGCCAAGGAGGUGCAAAGGUACUUUUGGUGGAUUCUUUACCUGUUGAGCCAUCAGAGAACUCCAACCUCAUUUAAAUAGGAAAAAAGCAAAUUAACCCACAGUGAAAACAUUUGUGUCAGUGAGGCUGCUGGAACGGAAGUUUGUUCGUGAGCAAGCAGAUUAGAAUCACCUCUGCAGAAAAGAAAACAGAUAAUAAACAAUGUACAUUAUUAUGGGCUGAAUGUUAAUG
Bos taurus (domestic cattle) is the source of this 476-nucleotide long non-coding RNA. The record is from Ensembl. Lineage: Eukaryota; Metazoa; Chordata; Mammalia; Artiodactyla; Bovidae.